Molecule: ribosomal RNA, 433 nt
Filed under: uncultured bacterium
Lineage: Bacteria
Description: partial 16S ribosomal RNA
Rfam family: Bacterial small subunit ribosomal RNA
Source: RNAcentral
AACGAACGCUGGCGGCAUGCCUAACACAUGCAAGUCGAACGAGACCUUCGGGUCUAGUGGCGCACGGGUGCGUAACGCGUGGGAAUCUGCCCUUGGGUUCGGAAUAACAAUGAGAAAUUACUGCUAAUACCGGAUGAUGUCUUCGGACCAAAGAUUUAUCGCCCAGGGAUGAGCCCGCGUAGGAUUAGCUAGUUGGUGGGGUAAUGGCCUACCAAGGCGACGAUCCUUAGCUGGUCUGAGAGGAUGAUCAGCCACACUGGGACUGAGACACGGCCCAGACUCCUACGGGAGGCAGCAGUGGGGAAUAUUGGACAAUGGGCGCAAGCCUGAUCCAGCAAUGCCGCGUGAGUGAUGAAGGCCUUAGGGUUGUAAAGCUCUUUUACCCGGGAUGAUAAUGACAGUACCGGGAGAAUAAGCUCCGGCUAACUCCGUG